RNAcentral lists this ribosomal RNA (496 nucleotides) under uncultured bacterium. RNAcentral's name for it is "partial 16S ribosomal RNA". It matches the Rfam family "Bacterial small subunit ribosomal RNA", at positions 28 to 506 of the family's 1533-position model. The record is from RNAcentral.
GACGAACGCUGGCGGCGUGCCUAAUACAUGCAAGUUGAGCGCUGAAGGUUGGUACUUGUACCAACUGGAUGAGCAGCGAACGGGUGAGUAACGCGUGGGGAAUCUGCCUUUGAGCGGGGGACAACAUUUGGAAACGAAUGCUAAUACCGCAUAAAAACUUUAAACACAAGUUUUAAGUUUGAAAGAUGCAAUUGCAUCACUCAAAGAUGAUCCCGCGUUGUAUUAGCUAGUUGGUGAGGUAAAGGCUCACCAAGGCGAUGAUACAUAGCCGACCUGAGAGGGUGAUCGGCCACAUUGGGACUGAGACACGGCCCAAACUCCUACGGGAGGCAGCAGUAGGGAAUCUUCGGCAAUGGACGAAAGUCUGACCGAGCAACGCCGCGUGAGUGAAGAAGGUUUUCGGAUCGUAAAACUCUGUUGGUAGAGAAGAACGUUGGUGAGAGUGGAAAGCUCAUCAAGUGACGGUAACUACCCAGAAAGGGACGGCUAACUGCGU